RNAcentral lists this long non-coding RNA (305 nucleotides) under Rattus norvegicus (Norway rat). RNAcentral's name for it is "long non-coding RNA NONRATT021609". The record is from RNAcentral. Lineage: Eukaryota; Metazoa; Chordata; Mammalia; Rodentia; Muridae.
GGCAGAUCAAUAUCCACAACCUGUCCGCCUUCUACGACAGCGACCUCUUCAAAAUCAACAAGUUCAGCCGUGACCUGAAACGCAAGCUGAUCCUACAGCAGUUCUGAGAUUAAAGAGCAACUUAGAAGUGUUUGCACACUUUUCCAGAACGUUCUUGGAGCCUGUGAUGGAGGAGCACAAGAGCCUGCCUACCGAGGGAGGGCCCAUGCUCCUUGUGCUGACUUUCUUCCUGCCUAGCCAGUGCCUUCAUUCGCUUCUUGUACAGUUUCUUAUAGUUUAUUUUUUAAUAAAUUUGAAUACAACUU